GGGUUAGUAGGUUGGUCAUGCCUCUGGUAUGUACUGGUCUUACUGAUUCCUCCUUCCUGAUGAGCCGUAAUGCCAUUAAUCUGGUGUUGCGGGGAAUUUGGACUGUUACUUUGAAAAAAUUAGAAUGUUCAAAGCAGGCUAUUGCCUGAAUACAUUAGCAUGGAAUAAUAGAAUAGGACGUGUGGUUCUAUUUUGUUGGUUUCUAGAAUCGCCGUA
Molecule: ribosomal RNA, 216 nt
Filed under: Campeiostachys nutans
Lineage: Eukaryota; Viridiplantae; Streptophyta; Magnoliopsida; Poales; Poaceae
Description: Elymus nutans partial small subunit ribosomal RNA
Rfam family: Eukaryotic small subunit ribosomal RNA (bases 40-216)
Source: RNAcentral